AUCGUACAAUGAUCAAAUAUUUAUAGGAUAGGGAUGGGCAUGCGCGUCAUUAGUUAGUUGGCGGGGUAACGGCCACCAAGACCACGAUGACUAGGGGAUCUGAGAGGAUGGCCCCCCACACUGGUACUGAGACACGGACCAGACUCCUACGGGAGGCAGCAGUAAGGAAUAUUGGUCAAUGGAGGCAACUCUGAACCAGCCAUGCCGCGUGCAGGAAGACGGCCCUCUGGGUUGUAAACUGUCUUUUAUUCGGAAUAAGCCUGCUUACGUGUAAGUAGCUGAAUGUACCGAAGGAAUAAGGAUCGGCUAACUCCGUG
This 317-nucleotide ribosomal RNA is filed under the name uncultured bacterium. RNAcentral's name for it is "bacterial SSU rRNA". It matches the Rfam family "Bacterial small subunit ribosomal RNA", at positions 189 to 507 of the family's 1533-position model. The record is from RNAcentral.